This 133-nucleotide ribosomal RNA is filed under the name uncultured bacterium. RNAcentral's name for it is "partial 16S ribosomal RNA". It matches the Rfam family "Bacterial small subunit ribosomal RNA", at positions 356 to 486 of the family's 1533-position model. The record is from RNAcentral.
GAGGAAUAUUGGUCAAUGGACGCAAGUCUGAACCAGCCAUGCCGCGUGCAGGAUGACGGCCUUAUGGGUUGUAAACUGCUUUUAUAUGGGAAUAAACCUCCGAACGUGUUCGGAGCUGCAUGUACCAUACGAA